This 3388-nucleotide ribosomal RNA is filed under the name Salmonella enterica subsp. enterica serovar Derby. Its description in RNAcentral is "bacterial LSU rRNA". It matches the Rfam family "Bacterial large subunit ribosomal RNA". The record is from RNAcentral. Lineage: Bacteria; Pseudomonadati; Pseudomonadota; Gammaproteobacteria; Enterobacterales; Enterobacteriaceae.
ACUAAGCGUACACGGUGGAUGCCCUGGCAGUCAGAGGCGAUGAAGGGCGUGCUAAUCUGCGAUAAGCGCCGGUAAGGUGAUAUGAACCGUUAUAACCGGCGAUACCCGAAUGGGGAAACCCAGUGUGAUUCGUCACACUAUCAUUAACUGAAUCCAUAGGUUAAUGAGGCGAACCGGGGGAACUGAAACAUCUAAGUACCCCGAGGAAAAGAAAUCAACCGAGAUUCCCCCAGUAGCGGCGAGCGAACGGGGAGGAGCCCAGAGCCUGAAUCAGCAUGUGUGUUAGUGGAAGCGUCUGGAAAGGCGCGCGAUACAGGGUGACAGCCCCGUACACAAAAGCGCAUGUGCUGUGAGCUCGAUGAGUAGGGCGGGACACGUGGUAUCCUGUCUGAAUAUGGGGGGACCAUCCUCCAAGGCUAAAUACUCCUGACUGACCGAUAGUGAACCAGUACCGUGAGGGAAAGGCGAAAAGAACCCCGGCGAGGGGAGUGAAAAAGAACCUGAAACCGUGUACGUACAAGCAGUGGGAGCNUGAGGGAAAGGCGAAAAGAACCCCGGCGAGGGGAGUGAAAAAGAACCUGAAACCGUGUACGUACAAGCAGUGGGAGCCCCACCACUAAGCCAGUGGUGAACUCCACAUACGCAUCCUUUGCUGAGGAUACGGUUAACGGAGCGCAAGCGACGUUCAACCGCAAAAGAAGCAGAGGGGGCUUAGUGGUGGGGUGACUGCGUACCUUUUGUAUAAUGGGUCAGCGACUUAUAUUCUGUAGCAAGGUUAACCGUAUAGGGGAGCCGGAGGGAAACCGAGUCUUAAUUGGGCGUUAAGUUGCAGGGUAUAGACCCGAAACCCGGUGAUCUAGCCAUGGGCAGGUUNAGGGAAACCGAGUCUUAACCGGGCGUUAAGUUGCAGGGUAUAGACCCGAAACCCGGUGAUCUAGCCAUGGGCAGGUUGAAGGUUGGGUAACACUAACUGGAGGACCGAACCGACUAAUGUUGAAAAAUUAGCGGAUGACCUGUGGCUGGGGGUGAAAGGCCAAUCAAACCGGGAGAUAGCUGGUUCUCCCCGAAAGCUAUUUAGGUAGCGCCUCGUGAAUUCAUCUCCGGGGGUAGAGCACUGUUUCGGCUAGGGGGCCAUCCCGGCUUACCAACCCGAUGCAAACUGCGAAUACCGGAGAAUGUUAUCACGGGAGACACACGGCGGGUGCUAACGUCCGUCGUGAAGAGGGAAACAACCCAGACCGCCAGCUAAGGUCCCAAAGUCAUGGUUAAGUGGGAAACGAUGUGGGAAGGCCCAGACAGCCAGGAUGUUGGCUUAGAAGCAGCCAUCAUUUAAAGAAAGCGUAAUAGCUCACUGGUCGAGUCGGCCUGCGCGGAAGAUGUAACGGGGCUAAACCAUGCACCGAAGCUGCGGCAGCGAGUAAUAGCUCACUGGUCGAGUCGGCCUGCGCGGAAGAUGUAACGGGGCUAAACCAUGCACCGAAGCUGCGGCAGCGAACGUAUCACUUAAAGCGAUUCAGCGGGUUACGAUUGACGGAGCGAAGCGACGUCAAAGCGUAUACAAAGUCGAGUCGGUUUAAGGAUACGUUCGUUGGGUAGGGGAGCGUUCUGUAAGCCUGUGAAGGUGGCCUGUGAGGGUUGCUGGAGGUAUCAGAAGUGCGAAUGCUNGUUGGGUAGGGGAGCGUUCUGUAAGCCUGUGAAGGUGGCCUGUGAGGGUUGCUGGAGGUAUCAGAAGUGCGAAUGCUGACAUAAGUAACGAUAAAGCGGGUGAAAAGCCCGCUCGCCGGAAGACCAAGGGUUCCUGUCCAACGUUAAUCGGGGCAGGGUGAGUCGACCCCUAAGGCGAGGCCGAAAGGCGUAGUCGAUGGGAAACGGGUUAAUAUUCCCGUACUUGGUGUUACUGCGAAGGGGGGACGGAGAAGGCUAUGUUGGCCGGGCGACGGUUGUCCCGGUUUAAGCGUGUAGGUGUGUGUUCCAGGUAAAUCCGGUUCACUUUAACACUGAGGCGUGAUGACGAGGCACUACGGUGCUGAAGCAACAAAUGCCCUGCUUCCAGGAAAAGCCUCUAAGCAUCAGGUAACAUCAAAUCGUACCCCAAACCGACACAGGUGGUCAGGUAGAGAAUACCAAGGCGCUUGAGAGAACUCGGGUGAAGGAACUAGGCAAAAUGGUGCCGUAACUUCGGGAGAAGGCACGCUGACAUGUAGGUGAAGUGAUUUACUCAUGGAGCUGAAGUCAGUCGAAGAUACCAGCUGGCUGCAACUGUUUAUUAAAAACACAGCACUGUGCAAACACGAAAGUGGACGUAUACGGUGUGACGCCUGCCCGGUGCCGGAAGGUUAAUUGAUGGGGUCAGCGCAAGCGAAGCUCCUGAUCGAAGCCCCGGUAAACGGCGGCCGUAACUAUAACGGUCCUAAGGUAGCGAAAUUCCUUGUCGGGUAAGUUCCGACCUGCACGAAUGGCGUAAUGAUGGCCAGGCUGUCUCCACCCGAGACUCAGUGAAAUUGAACUCGCUGUGAAGAUGCAGUGUACCCGCGGCAAGACGGAAAGACCCCGUGAACCUUUACUAUAGCUUGACACUGAACAUUGAGCCUUGAUGUGUAGGAUAGGUGGGAGGCUUUGAAGUGUGGACGCCAGUCUGCAUGGAGCCGACCUUGAAAUACCACCCUUUAAUGUUUGAUGUUCUAACGUGGACCCGUAAUCCGGGUUGCGGACAGUGUCUGGUGGGUAGUUUGACUGGGGCGGUCUCCUCCUAAAGAGUAACGGAGGAGCACGAAGGUUGGCUAAUCCUGGUCGGACAUCAGGAGGUUAGUGCAAUGGCAUAAGCCAGCUUGACUGCGAGCGUGACGGCGCGAGCAGGUGCGAAAGCAGGUCAUAGUGAUCCGGUGGUUCUGAAUGGAAGGGCCAUCGCUCAACGGAUAAAAGGUACUCCGGGGAUAACAGGCUGAUACCGCCCAAGAGUUCAUAUCGACGGCGGUGUUUGGCACCUCGAUGUCGGCUCAUCACAUCCUGGGGCUGAAGUAGGUCCCAAGGGUAUGGCUGUUCGCCAUUUAAAGUGGUACGCGAGCUGGGUUUAGAACGUCGUGAGACAGUUCGGUCCCUAUCUGCCGUGGGCGCUGGAGAACUGAGGGGGGCUGCUCCUAGUACGAGAGGACCGGAGUGGACGCAUCACUGGUGUUCGGGUUGUCAUGCCAAUGGCACUGCCCGGUAGCUAAAUGCGGAAGAGAUAAGUGCUGAAAGCAUCUAAGCACGAAACUUGCCCCGAGAUGAGUUCUCCCUGAGACUUAAAGUCUCCUGAAGGAACGUUGAAGACGACGACGUUGAUAGGCCGGGUGUGUAAGCGCAGCGAUGCGUUGAGCUAACCGGUACUAAUGAACCGUGAGGCUUAACC